This 778-nucleotide ribosomal RNA is filed under the name uncultured bacterium. RNAcentral's name for it is "bacterial SSU rRNA". It matches the Rfam family "Bacterial small subunit ribosomal RNA", at positions 18 to 791 of the family's 1533-position model. The record is from RNAcentral.
CCUGGCUCAGAGUGAACGCUGGCGGCAGGCCUUACACAUGCAAGUCGAGCGGCAGCGCGGGGGCAACCCUGGCGGCGAGCGGCGGACGGGAGAGGAAUGCAUCGGAAUCUACCUCGUUGUGGAGGAUAACGUAGGGAAACUUACGCUAAUACCGCAUACGACCUACGGGUGAAAGUGGGGGACCGCAAGGCCUCACGCGAUGAGAUGGGCCGAUGCCGGAUUAGCUAGUUGGCGGGGUAAAGGCCCACCAAGGCGACGAUCCGUAGCUGAUCUGAGAGGAUGAUCAGCCACACUGGAACUGGGACACGGUCCAGACUCCUACGGGAGGCAGCAGUGGGGAAUAUUGGACAAUGGGCGCAAGCCUGAUCUAGCCAUGCCGCGUGUGUGAAGAAGGCCUUCGGGUUGUAAAGCACUCUUGUUGGGGAAGAAACCGACCGGACUAAUACUCCCGUUGAAUGACGGUACCCAAAGAAUAAGCACCGGCUAACUUCGUGCCGGCAGCCGCGGUAAUACGAAGGGUGCAAGCGUUACUCGGAAUUACUGGGCGUAAAGCGUGCGUAGGCGGAUUGUUAAGUCUGCUGUGAAAGCCCUGGGCUCAACCUGGGAACUGCAGUGGAUACUGGCAAGCUAGGGUGUGUCAGAGGAUGGUGGAAUUCCCGGUGUAGCGGUGAAAUACGUAGAGAUCGGGAGGAGCACCAGUGGCGAAGGCGGCCAUCUGGGACAACACUGACGCUGAGGCACGUAAGCGUGGGGAGCAAACAGGAUUAGAUACCCUGGU